UAUCGCGGAAUACCAUUGAAGGUCCAUAUCCGCCCACCAAUGCGUUCGAUUUCUAGAAGAGAAUUCCGCCUGGUUGACGGUAUUUGACGACGGCCGGAGACGUUUCAUCAAAGUAUUGAAUCUUAGCCUUAUUGACAUCGUUUUUGUCGAGAUUGCUGGCUGUGGUUUUGGAAAAUGGACAAAAGAAAUCUAUUAUUUUUCUGCAAAUGCCCCGCGAAUUAGACUCCGAUGGCGUUACCGUCUCUGGAACCAGCUUAUUCGAUGAGGACGACGGAGUGUAAGUGUGUACAACCAAAAUAUUUUUGAACAUCACCCUGUUAUGCCCUGUCUUUUUAACGUUUUCUUGUUUCAAAAUGCCUAGUUUAUUUUCCGUAAAAAUUGGCAUUUUAUGAAGAGGUUUUCUUGUGAUGUUGAACAAAUGGUUAAUGCAUAGCUCCCAAACUUUGGAAAGAAUAAUUUCAUUCUUCAAUUUACUUUUCAAGAACAAUAAGAGGAUGAAAUACGCGCUCACCGACAAGAUCGCGAUGAUGCUCAUAUGUAACGGAUUCCCAAGACCCGUUUCGAAUAGAAAGCUCGCACACGAAUCUCAUCAAAAUCCGUAUAUACACCAAAUAAAAAAUAUAUCUGCCUA
Cimex lectularius (bed bug) is the source of this 631-nucleotide long non-coding RNA. RefSeq lists it as uncharacterized. NCBI's taxonomy places the organism in Eukaryota, Metazoa, Arthropoda, Insecta, Hemiptera, Cimicidae. The record is from RefSeq and is a predicted model, not a curated record. The transcript has 2 exons.